This 1335-nucleotide long non-coding RNA is filed under the name Eucalyptus grandis. Its description in RNAcentral is "long non-coding RNA (EGRA_LNC001933)". The record is from RNAcentral. Lineage: Eukaryota; Viridiplantae; Streptophyta; Magnoliopsida; Myrtales; Myrtaceae.
UCUGACCUCCCCCGUAUAAAAUAAUCCCACCCCACCUCCUUCUCCCUCUCUCUCUCUCUCUCUCUCUCUGUGCGUGUGGCAAAGGGUGUCUCUUGUCUGUAACUGUUCAGUUCUUGGGGUUGCUUGGAGUACACAGGGCAUUUCAAUUCGUGGUUUCAGUUUCGUGGAAUUAAUUUCAUGCUGGUAGAGAGGUAGGCGUUUAUGGUGGUCAGAGCCUCUGCGGGUUCCAGAGCCUCUCUCUCUCUCUCUCUCUCUGUGCGUGUGGCAAAGGGUGUCUCUUGUCUGUAACUGUUCAGUUCUUGGGGUUGCUUGGAGUACACUGGGCAUUUCAAUUCGUGGUUUCAGUUUCGUGGAAUUAAUUUCGUGCUGGUAGAGAGGUAGGCGUUUAUGGUGGUCAGAGCCUCUGCGGGUUCCAGAGCAUGUUGUUUAGUCGCAGAGAGAUUGAUUAAAUCUCUCUUCUUUCCUUUUUUUUUUUUUUUUUGUGUUUCCUCCACCGAAGGGAAGGGAAAAAAAAAGAGAAUUUAUUGCGUUGCUUUGCUCUCACUGUACGCGGGGGUCCCUGGCUUGCUGAUCUGAUUCCCUUCCUCCACGAUCUUGCUUCAAGUGUUAUCAAGUCUGUUGAUUUAGCAAUCUUCUCUUUUUGUAGAGUUGAAUUUUUUUUUCGAUACUGUAUUUGGGUUUUAUUGGUUGUCAAGAUCCUCGUUGAGGUAGCUGGGGUUGUUAGGAUUGGGAUUUGGUGUUGAAUGAGAUUUGGGGGUGGUGAUGCAAGUGAUCAUUGUCCAGCUGGUUCUGCUCUGUAUCAUCAGCUUUGCUUCAGCUGUGCAGGGAUCUGCUGGUACAAAAGUUUUCUUGCCUUUUUACAUGUUCCACUGUGAUUUUGAGCACUUGGUGUAGCUGCUGAACUUAACGUUUGAUUAGAUGAUAACUGAUGUCUUGAUUUAUCAAGUUUCACUUAGAAAUUGUAAGGUCUCGUAACUAUAAAGAAAGUUGCACAGAUCUAUCCCUUCGUUGGCUCACUGCUAAUAUUGUGCUGUUGCAUUCAGUGAUUCGUCUGCAAUGACUAAGCCGGAGCAUGAAUUUAGGAGAGGUAAUCCGGCAGAGGCAUGUCAGAUCCGUCAUUUGAGCUAUUGUUCUUCUCUUGAUUUCAAUGUGCAAUUUUUAUGCAGAAUUGUGUAAAAAUCGCACUUGGCGGUCCUUAUUGCAAGUUCUAGUUCCAAUGUUUUCCCAAAUUAAAAUCGUAGGUUUCAGCAUUGUCUCUUCACAGCUAAAGCUUUUCCAUCUGGGAAAUGCUUGCUAGAUGAUGGUUUAUCCCAUGAACGGCCAGGCAUGGUUUGC